Molecule: ribosomal RNA, 253 nt
Filed under: uncultured bacterium
Lineage: Bacteria
Description: partial 16S ribosomal RNA
Rfam family: Bacterial small subunit ribosomal RNA
Source: RNAcentral
GACAGAGGGUGCGAACGUUGUUCGGAAUUACUGGGCGUAAAGCGUGUGUAGGCUGCUACAUAAGUCGGAUGUGAAAGCCCCGGGCUCAACCCGGGAAGUGCACUCGAUACUGCGUAGCUUGAGUCUCGGAGAGGUUGGUGGAAUUCUCGGUGUAGAGGUGAAAUUCGUAGAUAUCGAGAGGAACACCGGUGGCGAAGGCGGCCAACUGGACGAAGACUGACGCUGAGACACGAAAGCGUGGGGAGCAAACAGG